CCCAGACUCCUACGGGAGGCAGCAGUGGGGAAUAUUGCACAAUGGGGGAAACCCUGAUGCAGCGACGCCGCGUGAGUGAAGAAGUAUUUCGGUACGUAAAGCUCUAUCAGCAGGGAAGAAAAUGACGGUACCUGAUUAAGAAGCCCCGGCUAACUACGUGCCAGCAGCCGCGGUAAUACGUAGGGGGCGAGCGUUAUCCGGAUUCACUGGGGGUAAAGGGAGCGUAGACGGCCAAGCAAGCCAGGGGUGAAAGGCCGGGGCCCAACCCCGGGACUGCCCUUGGAACUGCAUGGCUGGAGUGCGGGAGGGGCAGGCGGAAUUCCUGGUGUAGCGGUGAAAUGCGUAGAUAUCAGGAGGAACACCGGCGGCGAAGGCGGCCUGCUGGACCGCGACUGACGUUGAGGCGCGAAAGCGUGGGGAGCGAACAGGAUUAGAUACCCCCGUAGU
Molecule: ribosomal RNA, 447 nt
Filed under: uncultured bacterium
Lineage: Bacteria
Description: bacterial SSU rRNA
Rfam family: Bacterial small subunit ribosomal RNA
Source: RNAcentral